AUAAUGAUACUUCCGAUAAAGAUUCGGUCUGAAAAGAUGGUGCAAAUCCAAUGA
RNAcentral lists this non-coding RNA (54 nucleotides) under unclassified sequences. RNAcentral describes it as "pemK RNA". It matches the Rfam family "pemK RNA". The record is from RNAcentral.